Molecule: long non-coding RNA, 2197 nt
Organism: Triticum aestivum (bread wheat)
Lineage: Eukaryota; Viridiplantae; Streptophyta; Magnoliopsida; Poales; Poaceae
Exons: 2
Source: RefSeq, a predicted model, not a curated record
AAUAAUUGCUUGGAUAGAGUGGACCUCGAGCAUGUGGAUGCAUGGGCCAACCACAUCAAAUCGAGUAAUUAAUUUCCCUUUGAUGCCACGAUGUGCACACAGAUGGAUCGGAUCGAUCCCUCCCUGCGAGCAUAUGUCGGUGUGUGUGUGUGUGCAUAUACUACGACGCAAAGAUGUGAAGGUCCCGGCGAUAAAUCUCCCUCGGUAACCAGGUCUUACCGAUUUGAAGGCCAGAUCGAGCAUGAUAAUUUAACGGUUUCGCUAUUUCACAGUGGAGUGUUUUACAAUUGCGCAUCAUUCAAUUUUGUGGCCGUUCAAUCUUGCACGGAGAUUCAUGCUGGGAGGUGUCUUUUUAGGACGUUUUCCUUUUCUGUUCCUUACUGGUGGCGUAAUAGUUUCCCGGCCAACCCGUUACUGCCCAAGUGCCCAUCCCCUAGGCCCUAGCCCUCUGUCUCCUUUUUUUCCAUUUCUGUCCUUUCGAUUCCUUGGCGAUUUCCUUGUCCACCAUGGAUCAUGACGAGAAUGAACUUCUCUUUCAUGUAAUGGUUUAGAUGAGUCACGGUCCUGUUCGCUGCCAGUCUUUUUCCCUUCCCGACUAGAUGAAUAAAAUAUUAAUUCCAUUCGGGCAGGUGAGGAAGGGCGGCGUCGGCUUGACCAUGUCUUCUGUCUUAGUCGUUUCGGAGACUAAGUUUCUCAUUCAAUGGUGAGGUGUUUAUAGAAAGCAAGGCCUCGCUCGACGAGUCAUGUAGUCAUAGGUUUGAGUUCCCUAAUCAGUAGUGUAAGUUCCACAAGUAAGUAGUGUAACUUCCAUUUGAAUUCCAUUAGUUUGCAACGUUUUUGAAUUUGUAUCACACUGGUGAGUUUCCUAGUUUUUUAGUACUGCAAGUUCCAUAGGCAAGUAUUGGAAGCUUCCUAGUUUUGCAAUGCCCACUUGCACUUUUAGAACCUAACAUUUUGGGUUUCUCUUUGUUGGAUUUGUAUUGAAUCCAGUUUACCAUUUGAAAGUCUAAAUGGAUAUUACUGAAACUAAAGUGUAAUCACAAUGUUCUAAUCUCUUAAAUGCAUGUGUUUUUAUUAGAAAUCUGGUGUAAUUUUACUGAAAUUUGUACUGUGAGCACAAUGUAUGUUUCAGUGAAAUUUUAGUGGAAUUAUUAUGUGCAUUUUCAGUGGAAUUAUAGUGCUUUUGAAUUGUAAUUACAGUGGGGAUUUCAGUGUAAUUACAGUGAGUAUUUUAGAGUAAUCACAUUAUCUUUUUAGUUAAUUUACCCCUCAGGAUGUUGGGUUUUGUCAUUGUUGAUGCAUUCACUUUAGAACAAUUUAUUUUCUUUUGUUAGGGUUAUUGGUAUACUCGUACUUUAUUUCUGCCCAUUUGUGUAAGCAACCUUAGUUGUGCACAUGAUUUUCUAGUAUAUGUAAUUUCAGCAAUUUGGUAACUAUAUUUUCAGUGUUUUUAGGCUUAUAGCUACUAUAAUUUACUACUUUGGAAAUGCUCUUUUUUUGCACUGCACAUGCUAAAUUUGUGGUUAUUCUAUGUCCCCAGUGCUUUUAUGCAAACUGACCAGUUUAGUGCCGUGGAAUAGAUAGAUUAUGUGAUCUCUGCAAAAUUUCUGGUGAUUUUGCAGGUGCUUAGGGUUUAGGGUUUCCAUACUCCAAUAGCCUAUCUGAUUUGGUGUUGUUCCCUUGUUAUUUCUUUCCACCGGCUCUCCAUGUACUAACAGUUCCAGAGCUCCUGAACUGUUAGAUAUUGUUGUACUGUUCUUCUUCAUAUAAUAAAGAUUGGCCAAUGGCCCUUCGAGAUUUUGCAGGUGCUCAAAGAUGUGCAAUUAACUAGGAGUUGAAAGUGAAGCUACCGUUGACAUGUCAAGUGCUCAAAUAAUGUGUAUUUUCUCUAGUGUAUUUUCAUUGUGUUCUUUGCAGUCAAUGUGUAAUUACAGUGCAUUUCAGUAGAGUUACAGUGCUUUUUAUUUGUAACUAGAAUGGAAUUUCAGUGCAAUUACAGUGGGGAUUUUAGUGGAUUUUCUAGAGUAAUCGCAGUUUACGUCACAAUGUAAUUACGGUGAAUUUUUAGUCUCACUACAGUGGGCAUUUAAGAGGAUUUUGAGAGAUAUUAUACUGCAUUUCGUUGUAUUUUUCGCAGUCAAAUUGAACUGCAAUUACAUUGUCUUUUACAGUGUAAGUACAAUGUUUUUCAGUGUAA